RNAcentral lists this ribosomal RNA (522 nucleotides) under uncultured bacterium. Its description in RNAcentral is "partial 16S ribosomal RNA". It matches the Rfam family "Bacterial small subunit ribosomal RNA", at positions 29 to 523 of the family's 1533-position model. The record is from RNAcentral.
AACGAACGCUGGCGGCGUGCCUAACACAUGCAAGUCGCACGAGAUAGCCCCAGCAAUGGGGUGUGUAAAGUGGCGCACGGGUGAGUAAGACACAGGUAAUCUACCUUUUUGAUUGGAACAACCCGCCGAAAGGUGGGCUAAUUCCGGAUACGCCCCAGGGGACGUGAAGUUCCUUGGGGGAAAGCUGGCCUCUGCAUGCAAGCUAGCGCAAAAAGAUGAGCCUGCGGCCCAUCAGCUAGUUGGUAGGGUAACGGCCUACCAAGGCAAUGACGGGUAGCUGGUCUGAGAGGACGAUCAGCCACACUGGAACUGAAACACGGUCCAGACUCCUACGGGAGGCAGCAGUGGGGAAUAUUGGACAAUGGGGGAAACCCUGAUCCAGCAACGCCGCGUGAGGGAAGAAGGCCUUCGGGUUGUAAACCUCUGUCGGAGGGGACGAAACCGGUUGUGGCUAAUAUCCACAGCCAUUGACGGUACCCUCAGAGGAAGCACCGGCUGACUCCGUGCCAGCCGCCGCAGUAA